Molecule: ribosomal RNA, 244 nt
Filed under: uncultured bacterium
Lineage: Bacteria
Description: partial 16S ribosomal RNA
Rfam family: Bacterial small subunit ribosomal RNA
Source: RNAcentral
CUAGAGCGGCGGACGGGUGAGUAACGCGUGGGUAACCUGCCUCAUACAGGGGGAUAACAGUUGGAAACGGCUGCUAAUACCGCAUAAGCGCACAGUACCGCAUGGUACGGUGUGAAAAACUCCGGUGGUAUGAGAUGGACCCGCGUCUGAUUAGGUAGUUGGUGGGGUAACGGCCUACCAAGCCGACGAUCAGUAGCCGACCUGAGAGGGUGACCGGCCACAUUGGGACUGAGACACGGCCCAA